CAAAUGAAUGCGAGAGCUGCUUUGCCUUUUAAAGGUUUUCAUUACAUCAAAAUUUGGUUGUGAAAUAUCAGCUAUUAGGAGAACAAUGUUUUUGAUUAAAUGGCACUGGAUUUAUAUACAGUAUCUCAACAGGGUUCAACUCCAACAUUAACCACCCAGGCAGGCUGGAUUCAGGCACAACCUCCCCAUCUCCACGACUGCAGGACAAAAACGCCAACAAUCACCCCAUCGGAAGUCCCAUCUCCAUAGAAAAUGGCAACCAGCUCUCCAACGUUUUGCUGGAAGAUGAGGAUCAGUCCAACAUCAUAACAUCACUUCACAGGCAUUUGGACAGGCAUCCCAACCAGAGGGAUCAUCUGAACUUCUCACCUUUUGGCACAGAAGCCACUCUAUAAAAUGGGGUCACUCUCGGGAUGCUUCCAAAACUACGGGGAUGGGUUUGACCAUCAAGCAAGAGGAGAAUGAAACCCCAGACCCAUAUUUUAAGCCAUCUGCAAAACAGCCACAG
Molecule: long non-coding RNA, 508 nt
Filed under: Scleropages formosus (Asian bonytongue)
Lineage: Eukaryota; Metazoa; Chordata; Actinopteri; Osteoglossiformes; Osteoglossidae
Description: lncRNA (ENSSFOG00015032807.1)
Source: RNAcentral